AAACUAGGAUUAGAUACCCUAUUAUGCUUAGCCCUAAACAUUGACAACAACAUACACCUGUUGUCCGCCUGGGAACUACGAGCAUCAGCUUGAAACCCAAAGGACUUGGCGGUGCUUUAGAUCCACCUAGAGGAGCCUGUUCUAGAACCGAUAACCCCCGUUCAACCUCACCCUUCUUUGUUUCCCCCGCCUAUAUACCGCCGUCGUC
Molecule: ribosomal RNA, 208 nt
Filed under: Epinephelus marginatus (dusky grouper)
Lineage: Eukaryota; Metazoa; Chordata; Actinopteri; Perciformes; Serranidae
Description: partial 12S ribosomal RNA
Rfam family: Bacterial small subunit ribosomal RNA
Source: RNAcentral